CCUUUUGGCAAGUAGUAACAACGAACUGCGAGAAGUCAGCAGAGGUCGUAGUACCUAAAGCACGUGUGCUUAUGGGGAAGG
Molecule: non-coding RNA, 81 nt
Filed under: uncultured Prevotella sp.
Lineage: Bacteria; Pseudomonadati; Bacteroidota; Bacteroidia; Bacteroidales; Prevotellaceae
Source: RNAcentral